UACGGAGGGUGCUAGCGUUGUUCGGAAUCACUGGGCGUAAAGCGCGUGUAGGCGGCCCACUAAGUCUGAUGUGAAAGCCCGGGGCUCACCCCCGGAAGCGCAUUGGAAACUGGUGGACUCGAGUCCCGGAGAGGAGGGUGGAAUUCCUGGUGUAGCGGUGAAAUGCGUAGAUAUCAGGAGGAACACCGGUGGCGAAGGCGGCCCUCUGGACGGUGACUGACGCUGAGACGCGAAAGCGUGGGGAGCAAACAGG
RNAcentral lists this ribosomal RNA (253 nucleotides) under uncultured bacterium. RNAcentral's name for it is "partial 16S ribosomal RNA". It matches the Rfam family "Bacterial small subunit ribosomal RNA", at positions 524 to 776 of the family's 1533-position model. The record is from RNAcentral.